RNAcentral lists this long non-coding RNA (2695 nucleotides) under Sorghum bicolor (sorghum). RNAcentral describes it as "long non-coding RNA (SBIC_LNC010414)". The record is from RNAcentral. Lineage: Eukaryota; Viridiplantae; Streptophyta; Magnoliopsida; Poales; Poaceae.
UUGUCAGUCCCUUGGCAAACAACCCAAGCCUAAUUAAUAAACUUGGAUCAGGAGUUGCUACGAUACUUCAUUCCUUUUAAGUACACUUUCUUUUAAAAAUAAAUUUUCCUCUGGUCUAACUUUCAAACCUACCCAUUUUACCUUUAACCAUGGAGCUUUGCAGCUUUUGCAUAAGUCUUGAGUAAUCGAAAGAUAGAACAAUCAAGUCAAGCACUACGUCUCAAAUUCUUCACAGUACCAAUAUUCCAGAGUUUUGCAAGUUUUGAAAUAAAACUCAGAGCUUAAUUGUAUGAUACCCUCAAGUCUCUUAUUUGGUAGUAUUUAAGGAUCUCACUGAGGCAUUAAUGAGGUUAUGCCUUCCUACAACUAAGGAUAUAUAUAGUGGAGCUUAUAGGAGUGGCAAUAACAAGGAUGAGCAUACUUGCAAUUUUAUAUUGUAAAGUCAAACAAUGGAUCCACAAAGAAUUGAGGCAUAUAAUCAAAUCAAGAUGUGCGUGUGUAUGGCAUAUGGUGGAUAGGUGCAUAUAUAGUAUUUAGUGGUUAAUCCUAUUUCUACUUUUGCUCUUUAAAAUUACUUCCUCCUUUAAAAUUUAAAACUUUUCACGGGAAACCAUAGGCUAUCUUUAUUCUUUUUUUAUUACUGUGGGAAGCGGGCAUCGAUGUACCCAUUGUUUUAAUUGCUGGGACACUUGUCCAUCUUUUACUCCCCUUUUUUCUAUUUUUCUUUUUUAAUAUUUUUGCAUAGCCACAUGCAUCCUUUGAAUUAAAUAAUCAGAGAGAUAAUGAUAAGAACUUAGAGCAAUUAAAUGGGGCUGUCCUAUAGGGUAUAUUUUUGGAUGUUUACUCCUAGUGUAGGAGACAGAACAUUUUUAAGGUGGAUCAGGAUGAAAGUGGAAAUGACUGUGCUUACAUCCCAGAGUAGGAGUAAUGCAUAUGUGGGUGGAGUGUGUGAGUGAUCUUAAUUUAAAAGCAUGAUAAGACUCUCAUAAGGUAUACUCCAAAGGUUGACUAAACUCAAUGUAAAGCAAGUAGCAUGAAUGCGCAAAGGUUUUCCUAACUCUAAAUGUAUCAUAUAUGGCUUUGGUAGGAAUUUAAACUUUAUCAUACAAGAGCUCAUCAUGUAAGAUUUUGGGUUUUUGAAAAUAAAUCUCCAAAACUUAGUAAUGCUAGGAAUAUGCAGCAGCUUGAUCCUUCAUGUAUAAUAUCAAUUACCUAGACUUAGCUUAAACAUAUGCCUACACCAAUUUUAGGUUCAUAGUAAAUUCUUAUAUUAAAGUGGUAAUGCCUAAAACUCAGGAGAAUUUAUGGUUGAAAACUAGGCACUUGAAAGGAAUUACUGUAGUAUUCAUCAUCUCCAAGACAAAAUUUUUAUAUUCUAUAAUUUUUAUUUGACUCUAAACUAGACUGACUGUAGACACACUCUAUGAUCACACCUAAUAAGUAUUUUGUUUAGUUUUUGUUCAUUUCUAUUGGACUCAAAAGACUCUAAAGAUAUAGACCUUCAUGUGCCCAUAUAUUUUUGGUAUUUUUUUAUAUUUUCUUAUGAUACUAUUGUGAAUCUUCAUGUGCUCACAUAUUUUUGGUAUUUUAUGACUAUAUAAAAUAGACUCGAUAAUCGCUUAGGUAUAGUUACCUGAUAACUAGGGGAUUCUCCUCCUCAAGCUAGAUGUUUGCAAUAGUUGGUGUUGAUGAUCUUCAGAGUGAGCUAACCGGCAGCGCUCUAGGUGGGUGCCACUAAUAGACUCUCUCCUUGUCAUAAUAUUGUUCCUACAUAAUUACACUCCACAAAGAAAACCAAAACUCGAGACUCAAAUUUAAUAAUGGGUUAGCGGUCAGCCAGUACGUGAUUGAUUAUUCUUAUGAGUUGAUUUGAAUUGACAGAUUCUAGCAGGAUUCUCUCCUUUUUUAGGAUUUUCUAGUUUAAUUAUGCAGUAAUGAAAUAUGUGUACAUCAUGUAUAGUUGUAUUAUUAUGCCUCCACAGAGAAUAUUUAUUCUUAUGGAGCUUAGGUUAUUCAUAAUGCAAGAAAGUAAAUACAUAAGCUAUUAUUAUUAUUCUUUAUGUCACCACAGUAAAUAUAACUACAGGGUUACCAUAAGUUUAUUCAUGUGGAGCUUUUAAUAUUUUAUGAUGCAGUAAAUGAAGCAAUAAAGAUUUAUUUUAUUUAUUUUAUUUUUAUAUUUAUGCAGAUGAAAACAUUAGAGUGAAAUUAUUAAUGUAAACAAGAAUACUAAUUACUUAGAUAACUACCAUAUUACCUUAUGACAAUGAUGUAAAAUUUAAAGUUUACCGACAGGUCUUGUUCUUCCACUCUUGUGUAUCUCUUCAUCUUGAGAGAUGGAGGUCUUGAUGGUUGCAUACCUCUAGUGAUGGUAAUGUCACUUUUGUUCUUUGAUUUAGUUAGCAGGUUGAAGUAAAGCUUUAAUAGUAGCUGGCAGCAUCUUGCUUAGUGUGCAUGCUCAUAGAACUUUCACUUGUAGAUUAAACUUUGCUUGAUGCGUUGUCCUGUUUACAAAACUAAGGUAGAGAUCAAGUGCAUGGGCUCUGCUAGUGGAAAAACACCAACAGAACCAAAUCUGUUUCUUUAUUUAUUUUUCGCUAUCCUUAGGCACAUUAAACAAGAUAAAGUUGUGUUACAUGAUUUCUUUAUUUAUGAGUGGUAAGAUCAAAAGAUUAAGCAUUUAAUGUUGCAUUUA